Long non-coding RNA from Stylophora pistillata, 273 nucleotides. NCBI's taxonomy places the organism in Eukaryota, Metazoa, Cnidaria, Anthozoa, Scleractinia, Pocilloporidae. The record is from RefSeq and is a predicted model, not a curated record.
CAGCCUUACGGCCGUGUCACCUGAUCAGUUCCAAGGCCUGUCCAAACUAAAAGACCUGGCUGUUCAUGACAACAAUAUCGAAUAUCUGCCGCGUGGAGUUUUUAAGGACACGAAACAGAUUAUGUCUAUGAGCUUUCAUCUGAACAAAAUCACUGAAGUAACUAAUGAACAAUUCAAAGAUGUCGCGCCGACAAUUCGGUUCUUGUACUUUCAUUACAACAAGAUGCGGGAACUACCGGAAGGUUUUUUCUCUAACAUGAAGUAGUUAACAAC